Molecule: long non-coding RNA, 300 nt
Filed under: Androctonus crassicauda
Lineage: Eukaryota; Metazoa; Arthropoda; Arachnida; Scorpiones; Buthidae
Source: RNAcentral
GCCCCCUGAGAGACACAGCAGUCACUGGUGCUGACAAGGGGCACUUUCACAGGGAGCCACAAGUUCAUUUUUUCUGCUCAGAAUGAGGAACUAUCGGGAUUGGCUGGGCCUUCGUGGAUCAGCCAUUAUGCCUAUGGUACCAGGCACAAUAGCAAGGCGGUUAGGCACGAGGAAGUAGGCAAUUAGCACACUUUCUGACUCAGCCAUAAAAGGGAAAACGCUUCACCAAACCACAGUCUUCCAAAUUUGCUUCUCCUUAAUUAUUGCAUACAUGAAAUCGCUCCGUGUAGAAAAGCUGCG